GGAAUUCUGUUAACAAAUCACUGGAGGC
Molecule: non-coding RNA, 28 nt
Filed under: Mus musculus (house mouse)
Lineage: Eukaryota; Metazoa; Chordata; Mammalia; Rodentia; Muridae
Also listed under: 1 other name
Source: RNAcentral